Molecule: ribosomal RNA, 497 nt
Filed under: uncultured bacterium
Lineage: Bacteria
Description: partial 16S ribosomal RNA
Rfam family: Bacterial small subunit ribosomal RNA
Source: RNAcentral
GAUGAACGCUGGCGGCGUGCCUAAUACAUGCAAGUCGAGCGAACAGACGAGGAGCUUGCUCCUCUGACGUUAGCGGCGGACGGGUGAGUAACACGUGGAUAACCUACCUAUAAGACUGGGAUAACUUCGGGAAACCGGAGCUAAUACCGGAUAAUAUAUUGAACCGCAUGGUUCAAUAGUGAAAGACGGUUUUGCUGUCACUUAUAGAUGGAUCCGCGCCGCAUUAGCUAGUUGGUAAGGUAACGGCUUACCAAGGCAACGAUGCGUAGCCGACCUGAGAGGGUGAUCGGCCACACUGGAUCUGAGACACGGUCCAGACUCCUACGGGAGGCAGCAGUAGGGAAUCUUCCGCAAUGGGCGAAAGCUUGACGGAGCAACGCCGCGUGAGUGAUGAAGGUCUUCGGAUCGCAAAACUCUGUUAUUAGGGAAGAACAAAUGUGUAAGUAACUAUGCACGUCUUGACGGUACCUAAUCAGAAAGCCACGGCUAACUACGUG